Molecule: ribosomal RNA, 253 nt
Filed under: uncultured bacterium
Lineage: Bacteria
Description: partial 16S ribosomal RNA
Rfam family: Bacterial small subunit ribosomal RNA
Source: RNAcentral
UACGCAGGUGGCAAGCGUUAUCCGGAUUUAUUGGGCGUAAAGGGAACGCAGGCGGUCUUUUAAGUCUGAUGUGAAAGCCUUCGGCUUACCCGGAGUAGUGCAUUGGAAACUGGGAGACUUGAGUGCAGAAGAGGAGAGUGGAACUCCAUGUGUAGCGGUGAAAUGCGUAGAUAUAUGGAAGAACACCAGUGGCGAAAGCGGCUCUCUGGUCUGUAACUGACGCUGAGGUUCGAAAGCGUGGGUAGCAAACAGG